GAAAAUAAAAACAUGAAUCUGAAUGACAAAAAUUGAGAUCCAUAUCCUCUGAAACAUGUGUAAAUGGAUAUAUAGCUGUCAGAUAAAUUACCUUUACAGCUUCUUCCACCUUGAAACCCAGUAAUAAUAAAGCCUGCAAAGUGCAAAGAAAUGAACGAAUUAAUUUCAUCCGUUGGAACUCGAAAUAUGCUGGGUUAAUUUCAGAACUUGAUAUAAGUUUUAGAAAAAAAUUGCUGAAAUCAACAUUCUCUCAUGUAUUUCUGAAUUCUGACUUCAUACUUAAUGAGGUAAUAUAUUAUGCAUUGCAAAGAAGAUCCAAUGUGUCUCCACAGGAUUUAGAGUCCUGUUUCCAAAAAUUAUAUAGACUAGCCAUGUCAACGGACGGCUAUAGAAACAUCUGAAACCCAAAAAAUAGCAAUUUUGGAACUAUCACGUCACAUAAAUUAAAAAUAAAUCAAGUGAGAUGUCUGAGGAUCUCCAUUUUACCCACUUCUCCACUUUUAUUUGGCUUGCCUACAGGCCGGUAAAUCUGUUUAAUUGAAAGUGUUCUCACAUUUUUUAAUCGAAACUUUGUCUUAUAUUGAACAACAUAUAUAUUCAUGACAGCACAGAACUAACCAGAACUUACAGGUGGACCAUAGCAUGGAUCCUCAGAUUCUAAGGGAACAAACUUGGAAGUUUCAAUCAACU
Molecule: long non-coding RNA, 690 nt
Filed under: Olea europaea (common olive)
Lineage: Eukaryota; Viridiplantae; Streptophyta; Magnoliopsida; Lamiales; Oleaceae
Description: long non-coding RNA (OEUR_LNC012729)
Source: RNAcentral